This 259-nucleotide long non-coding RNA is filed under the name Dermacentor andersoni. RNAcentral describes it as "uncharacterized LOC126547961". Lineage: Eukaryota; Metazoa; Arthropoda; Arachnida; Ixodida; Ixodidae. The record is from RNAcentral.
GUGUCCACAUAACCUGUGGCAAUGGCUGCAGCAGCACGGCGUGUAAUCUGGAUGGACAUGUCAGGGUACACGUGCACUUACUUCAAGAUGACGACACUCCACCUCAAGAACAGCCUCUCCUCAAUGAUAAGUAGCGAGAUUAAAUGAAAGGAAGAUAUCACAUCCGUAACCAGACUGAUACUGUGUUUUCCUUUCAUUUAACCUCCUUCUGCAUUUAAGGAAGCAUUGAUAUGCCCAAUAAAUGUUUUUGUUAAAUUUC